GAACCAUAAAAAUAAAAAAGCUAUUUAAUUAUAUAUACAACUCAAAUCUGUUGAAGAAUUUUCACUUCCCUUAAUUAAUCAAACAAAACUAUAUUUUUUUUCUCUUCUAUU
This 111-nucleotide small nuclear RNA is filed under the name Tetrahymena thermophila. RNAcentral's name for it is "snRNA U2-3". The record is from RNAcentral. Lineage: Eukaryota; Ciliophora; Oligohymenophorea; Hymenostomatida; Tetrahymenidae.